UACAGAGGUCUCAAGCGUUGUUCGGAUUCAUUGGGCGUAAAGGGUGCGUAGGCGGCGCGGUAAGUCGGGUGUGAAAUCUCGGAGCUUAACUCCGAAACUGCAUUCGAUACUGCCGUGCUUGAGGACUGGAGAGGAGACUGGAAUUUACGGUGUAGCGGUGAAAUGCGUAGAUAUCGUAAGGAAGACCAGUGGCGAAGGCGGGUCUCUGGACAGUCCCUGACGCUGAGGCACGAAGGUCAGGGGAGCAAACAGG
This 253-nucleotide ribosomal RNA is filed under the name uncultured bacterium. RNAcentral describes it as "partial 16S ribosomal RNA". It matches the Rfam family "Bacterial small subunit ribosomal RNA", at positions 524 to 776 of the family's 1533-position model. The record is from RNAcentral.